Molecule: long non-coding RNA, 441 nt
Organism: Sorex araneus (European shrew)
Lineage: Eukaryota; Metazoa; Chordata; Mammalia; Eulipotyphla; Soricidae
Exons: 4
Source: RefSeq, a predicted model, not a curated record
CCAGAGUCAAGAUCCUUUCAAAAUGCAUCAAAAUGGGAAUCACUCUGUGAGGGAAAGGGAAGGAGAGAAGUGAGGAAGCACACAAAUGAAAUCUUAGGUCUGUGGAGAGAUGCCUCAUCUUGAAUGUAUUUGCAUGGUAGAAGGAGUCGAAGGGAGCAUCCUUCUCCACCCAAACCAAUUCUGCUUGUGUGAAUUUUCUGCAACUCCACUCUGCAAUCUGAGUGCUAAGUCACCAUGGGGAGAAAACUUAUCUCUUUAAGCAUCUCUGGCAACUGGAAAAGGUCAAGGAAGCCUCCAUCAUGACGGAUAUCACAAUUAAGAUUAUACAGUCAGUCCCACACCAGACAGUUUUCCAGAGGUCAUGGAGCUUCUACCAUCCAUCAUCAAGACCAGGUGUCCUUCUAAGUGGCAACUCACCUUGGAAAGUAAGAUGCCAUUUCA